RNAcentral lists this small RNA (16 nucleotides) under Arabidopsis thaliana (thale cress). Its description in RNAcentral is "ATSL006560". Lineage: Eukaryota; Viridiplantae; Streptophyta; Magnoliopsida; Brassicales; Brassicaceae. The record is from RNAcentral.
AUUUUUUUAUGUGUAU